UACGUAGGGGGCAAGCGUUGUCCGGAAUCAUUGGGCGUAAAGAGCGCGUAGGCGGCCCAGUAAGUCCGCUCUGAAAGUCAGGGGCUCAACCCCUGAAUGCGGGUGGAUACUGCUGGGCUAGAGUACGGAAGAGGCGAGUGGAAUUCCUGGUGUAGCGGUGAAAUGCGCAGAUAUCGGGAGGAACACCUAUGGCGAAGGCAGCUCGCUGGGCCGGUACUGACGCUGAGACGCGAAAGCGUGGGGAGCAAACAGG
RNAcentral lists this ribosomal RNA (253 nucleotides) under uncultured bacterium. RNAcentral describes it as "partial 16S ribosomal RNA". It matches the Rfam family "Bacterial small subunit ribosomal RNA", at positions 524 to 776 of the family's 1533-position model. The record is from RNAcentral.